UAUCGUUUUAAAGUACCUUCUUGCCAUGUCUAUUUUUGUUGUAACAUCCUUUUCGUUGCAAAUCGAUCAUAAUUUUGAAAAAUUCAAUCGUUUUCGUUAGGGAACAGAACCUUUUUCUAUUGAAAAAAGACUGAUUUGGUUAUAUUAUGAUAAAUCAACAUUUGAGCCCGAAAUGAAUAGUUUGUUUUCAUGUUAAAGAACAACCGGCUGAUUUCAAGUGUGUUUAUACUUCGCUCUUAUUUUUUUUCUAUCUCUGUUGACCGAUCAUUUUACGUGCCAGAAACGCGCUAGCGUGUCGACCGGAAAGUACAAAAUGUAUUUCAAUUCAAAAUUUGGCAAUCGUAAUCCAAUGAGAAUGGCUAGAGGAAGAGGAAUAGCACAAAGCAAUUUAUCUUCCAAUGAAUGCCUUUGUAAUAGACCACAUGGUUUUGUGCUUUGCAAUGUUUGUGGUUAUUUGACAAAGGGCAGAGUACGUUAUUUCUGUCCUAUUCAUCCACAGGUGUGUUGUCUUUGAUACAAUUUUUUUGCUUGACAUUGCUCAAUGUCCUCAAUGUAAGUCAUAUGGUUUUAUGUUGAGUGAAUAUUAAAUAUUAAAAAUAUCAUAUUCUUUAUUUAAUUUGAUGUUAAAAUAUAUUAAUAAUAUUUUUCUUAUUCUUAUUAUCAUAUUUUAUUAUCAUGAGUAGAUAUAUAUUCUAUCAUUAUUUUGUUUACUUAUUUCAACUAUUUUUAUUAUGAUAACAAUGUAUUUAUUUUAUGUUAUUGUAACAAAUGUAGAGACAUAAAAAGACAAAUACAGAUUAAUAUCAUUAAACUUUA
RNAcentral lists this unclassified non-coding RNA (816 nucleotides) under Apis dorsata (giant honeybee). RNAcentral describes it as "uncharacterized LOC102677236, transcript variant X5". Lineage: Eukaryota; Metazoa; Arthropoda; Insecta; Hymenoptera; Apidae. The record is from RNAcentral.